CGAAAACGACCACGGUUAAAGUAUGUGUUAAUAAAUAUUUCUUUGUGUCUCUUUGCAGGUUUCGCUGCAAGAAAUAAUACAACGCCGCCUUUUACCGCAAACAAGAUGAUGUCAUUACUCCAGCAAGCUUGUGAAAACGUAACGGCUGAAAACUGGAGUAAUGUCAUAGAAAAAGUUAAAAGCGUCAUACGCCAGGACUGGGAACGCGACGUCCACGUCGACACAAUAUUGGACCAAAGUUUUAUUUUAAAUGUAGAAUCGGAAUCGGAUGAGUCUUCCUGUUCGUCGAUUGAAACAGAUUGCGAAUAAAUUGAAUAAUUUAAUAUUGAGUUUCAUUUUUACACCCUUAAAACAUUAAUAAUUUAUUGACGAAAUUAAUUUUUAAUAAGCAGUUAAAAGUAUUUUUUAUAAUCGAUUAAAGGUUAACCGCAAUUGUACUCGAUAAUCGAAUCACAUAAAUUAAUUCUGUAUGGUCACCUCACUAUAGAGUUAAUUUGACAUGUGUCACCGUACCCAUCUUAGGUGAAAUGAAAUAUAAAUAAAUUGUUAUCAUGUAUACC
Long non-coding RNA from Melitaea cinxia (Glanville fritillary), 560 nucleotides. RefSeq lists it as uncharacterized. Lineage: Eukaryota; Metazoa; Arthropoda; Insecta; Lepidoptera; Nymphalidae. The record is from RefSeq and is a predicted model, not a curated record. The transcript is spliced from 3 exons.